GGGAGAAGAAGCGAUGAAGUUCUGGGAUUGGUACUUGAAGAUAGCUGUUGGGUCAGCGAUGGUUGGAGGUUCAAUGGAGCUUUUCAUGAUCAAAACUGGUUUCUGUACGAUAAAGUAGCAGUUUUGGAGUCAGAGAAGAGGGCUUGGGAGAGUUCACCUGAAGCUCAGGCCAUGAGAGACGCUCUCAAUCCUUGGCGGCAUCAAGGGAAGGAAGCCGAAAAGAGUUCCUAGUCGCGUUAGAACGGUCUUGAGUAAGGUUUGCAUCUCUUCUACAGUUGAUGAAAUUUAUGAAAAACCAAUUCUCUUACAUUACACCCUCAGAGUUAUCUUCCCUUGUCUGCAGAAAGCAGGCAAUUUGUUCCAAGGCACAAUAUUCUGAAUUGAAAUUGGCAGAUCAUAAACUCAAUUACUGCCUUUGUUGCAGGCUUUAUUGUUGAAAUCGACUGACUGGUUUGAGUUAAGAUGGCGAGUUUAUGUUGAUAGAUAUUUGUUUGAAUGCAUCAUGUCUUCAUACUUGAUGUCAUUUGCUCAUAACGCUUCCGCUAACAAAGUAUUUCAGUUGAGCUCACGUAUUGUUGAGAUACUAUUCCAUUCGAGUUUAUGUGACUUUGAAUCUAUUCAAGUUAUUUUCAUUA
Molecule: long non-coding RNA, 635 nt
Organism: Salvia splendens (bonfire salvia)
Lineage: Eukaryota; Viridiplantae; Streptophyta; Magnoliopsida; Lamiales; Lamiaceae
Exons: 3
Source: RefSeq, a predicted model, not a curated record